This 492-nucleotide ribosomal RNA is filed under the name uncultured bacterium. RNAcentral describes it as "partial 16S ribosomal RNA". It matches the Rfam family "Bacterial small subunit ribosomal RNA", at positions 29 to 507 of the family's 1533-position model. The record is from RNAcentral.
AGUGAACGCUGGCGGUAGGCCUAACACAUGCAAGUCGAACGGCAGCACAGUAAGAGCUUGCUCUUACGGGUGGCGAGUGGCGGACGGGUGAGGAAUACAUCGGAAUCUACUUUUUCGUGGGGGAUAACGUAGGGAAACUUACGCUAAUACCGCAUACGACCUACGGGUGAAAGCAGGGGAUCUUCGGACCUUGCGCGAUUGAAUGAGCCGAUGUCGGAUUAGCUAGUUGGCGGGGUAAAGGCCCACCAAGGCGACGAUCCGUAGCUGGGCUGAGAGGAUGAUCAGCCACACUGGAAGUGAGACACGGUCCAGACUCCUACGGGAGGCAGCAGUGGGGGAUAUUGGACAAUGGGCGCAAGCCUGCUCCAGCCAUACCGCGUGGGUGGAGAAGGCCUUCGGGUUGUAAAGCCCUUUUGUUGGGAAAGAAAAGCAGCAGGUUAAUACCCCGCUGUUCUGACGGUACCCAAAGAAUAAGCACCGGCUAAAUUCGUG